RNAcentral lists this ribosomal RNA (468 nucleotides) under uncultured bacterium. RNAcentral describes it as "partial 16S ribosomal RNA". It matches the Rfam family "Bacterial small subunit ribosomal RNA", at positions 28 to 507 of the family's 1533-position model. The record is from RNAcentral.
GACGAACGCUGGCGGCGUGCUUAACACAUGCAAGUCGAACGGAAAGGCCCUGCUUUUGUGGGGUGCUCGAGUGGCGAACGGGUGAGUAACACGUGAGUAACCUGCCCUUGACUUUGGGAUAACUUCAGGAAACUGGGGCUAAUACCGGAUAGGAGCUCCUGCUGCAUGGUGGGGGUUGGAAAGUUUCGGCGGUUGGGGAUGGACUCGCGGCUUAUCAGCUUGUUGGUGGGGUAGUGGCUUACCAAGGCUUUGACGGGUAGCCGGCCUGAGAGGGUGACCGGCCACAUUGGGACUGGGAUACGGCCCAGACUCCUAAGGGAGGCAACAGUGGGGAAUGUUGACCAAUGGGGCGAAGCCUUAUGCAGCAACGCCGCGUGCGGGAUGACGGCCUUCGGGUUGUAAACCGCUUUCGCCUGUGACGAAGCGUGAGUGACGGUAAUGGGUAAAGAAGCACCGGCUAACUACGUG